This 431-nucleotide RNase P RNA is filed under the name Rhizobiaceae bacterium. RNAcentral's name for it is "RNase P RNA component class A". It matches the Rfam family "Bacterial RNase P class A". Rfam says of the family: Ribonuclease P (RNase P) is a ubiquitous endoribonuclease, found in archaea, bacteria and eukarya as well as chloroplasts and mitochondria. Lineage: Bacteria; Pseudomonadati; Pseudomonadota; Alphaproteobacteria; Hyphomicrobiales; Rhizobiaceae. The record is from RNAcentral.
CCAGUCGGCCGGGCGGCCGCUCCUGCAUUCUUCGGGAUGCAGGAGAGGAAAGUCCGGGCUCCGCGGAAAUACGGUGCCGGAGAAAAUCCGGCGAGGGAAACCUCAGGGAAAGUGCCACAGAAAGGAAACCGCCCCGCCUGCCAAUCGGCCGCGCGAUAUGCCGGGCCUAUUUGCCGGCGGGGUAAGGGUGAAAGGGUGGGGUAAGAGCCCACCGCGCGGCCGGCAACGGUCGCGGCAUGGCAAACCCCACCGGGAGCAAGACCGAAUAGAGGCGGCGCGAAGGGCAACCUUCAGGCUUUUCCGGCCGAGCCGCCCGGGUUGGUCGCAUGAGGCGGAUGGCAACAUCCGUCCCAGAUGAAUGGCCGCCACGUUUCGUCUGCCGCAAGGCGGGCGGGGCCAUACAGAACCCGGCUUACAGGCCGGCUGGCACU